GAUCAUGGCUCAGGAUGAACGCUGGCGGCGUGCUUAACACAUGCAAGUCGAACGAAGCACUUUACCUGAUUUCCUUCGGGGAGUGAUUGUUUCUGUGACUGAGUGGCGGACGGGUGAGUAACGCGUGGAUAACCUGCCUCACACAGGGGGAGUAACAGUUGGAAACGACUGCUAAUACCGCAUAAGCGCACAGCACCGCAUGGUGCAGUGUGAAAAACUACCGGU
RNAcentral lists this ribosomal RNA (225 nucleotides) under uncultured bacterium. RNAcentral describes it as "partial 16S ribosomal RNA". It matches the Rfam family "Bacterial small subunit ribosomal RNA", at positions 15 to 215 of the family's 1533-position model. The record is from RNAcentral.